GGCUCUGAGGAUGACUUGUGUGGGACAUCUGUCACCCCAUUCAUUGCCAAGAUGAUCUGACUGUCUGUGUGGCAGCUGUCCCAUUCCUCCCCCACUGAUCCAUGUAUGUUCUUCCUGAAGCUACACCUUGUAUUGAAAACCUUCUGCAACAGAGGAGUCACUGUAUUAUCCUUCAAGAUUCCCCCAAACAAGUCUCAAGAAAAAAACUGGACACAUCAUAAUACACGACUACACAACUAUAGUAAUCAAAAUAGUAUGUCGUUGCUAU
RNAcentral lists this small RNA (268 nucleotides) under Mesocricetus auratus (golden hamster). RNAcentral's name for it is "7SK RNA (ENSMAUG00000007652.1)". Lineage: Eukaryota; Metazoa; Chordata; Mammalia; Rodentia; Cricetidae. The record is from RNAcentral.